UGCGCACUUCCGUUUUGCGUUCUCCGGUUCUUUCAGGCUCGGUGGAAGAUGGUAAAGUCAGAACGUACCGAUUGUAGCUGUUGCUUUAAACUACCCUGGUCGUUGUACAUUCAAGCCUAGCACUGCGCAGCAUUAUUUUCAGCGUCAAACCGCUAAAUGUUUUCAGAGCCGCUAUCACAUAAAUUAGCAGCGCGCCAGGCUGACAGCACGCUGUGGACGGGCAGAUUUUCUUCGCGUUCACUAACUCGUAACCAAAGAAAAAAUACAAUUUAGCUACGCGUGUGAUGUGACACCAACCCGUCGUAGCAAACGUCUGUCAACUUGCUACUGAGACUGAAUGUGUUUGACUUGCAUAGAGUGGUCAUAAUAUGGAUUAUGUGUAUAAUCCGUUUUUUGACGCAAACCAACCUGUUGCAAAUUUAACAUGAAUAGCCCAUAGUCUACAUAAUAUUGUCUUGUCCAUUGUUUUGUUUUUUAAGAAAACCAACACAAAUGUAUCAGCGUUUGUGUAUUCAUUUGAGAGUUCAAUUCACUUGCUAAAAAUAAGCGCAUCAGAACUUCCCAGUUUAUUCUCAUUUAACAGCCUGGGGCACCUGUGGCUCAGAACACAUUUUAUGAUCUGAGGGGUGGAGCCUUUGGUUACUUCACCACAGACCCUGUGUUAUAAAGUAGGCAAAGGCUCCACCUCUCAGUGACCACCUAGGUGAGGACUCAAAAGAGAAACCUGCACAUACAGAGAGUACCUCAAGACAAAACAUUCCUAUGAGGCAGACGCCAGUACCAGUAUGGCAGAAUUCAUCAAGAAGACUGUGUUGGAUGAAACCCCCAGUAGAAGGGGAUAAAAAGACAGAAGAUAGGACGGCUCCCAGUUCGAUGAGGAACACCAAUCUUGAUUGAUGAUCCGGGUCACAGCACCAAUGUGCCCUUCCUGGUCCCGUCCGUGAGUCAACACAGGAAGGAGUAAUGGAAUUAUUUUAUUUCCAAAACUACAAUCAUGGGACACACACAGUAUGGAUGAAUGAUGAGUAGUAGCCGGGAUAUAAACAGCAAUCCCACAGCAAUUCUCCAUGUAUCUGCUGUAUAAUAUACUGACAAAAGAACAAUUGAAAUGUCUUUCAAAGUCAUAGUGCAUUUAACAAUAAUAAAAAAAAAUAUUGUUUCCAUGUGUAAUCUCAUAUUCACAACAUCAGAAUAAACUAUCAUCCUUUUUAGUAUCAAAAGAAAUCAAAUUAACCUAAAAUUACUCUGUCACACUUGUGGCGAAGAAAUAUAAUGUACCACAUAUUUUCGUCAGCUAACAAAACCAGGCUGAUACGCUGGCUGGUGCUCAUGAGUUUAUAAAACAUAUAUUUUAUAUAUUUGUCAUAAAUUACCUGCAAUGAUGGGACACACACAGUAUGGAUGAAUGAUCAGUAGUCGACAGGAUAAAAAUGGCACUCUUAAAGAAGAUGCAUUCGUUAGCUAGCAUAAAACUCACAUGGCAAGUAACAUAUAGAGUGGCUUAUUUGACGCUAAACCAACAACAUUAAUUACUAAACAUAAAUUGCUAAUGUACGAGGUAAAAUGUGGGUUUUAUGAUUUAAUGUCAACUUUAUAUAUUUCUGUCCCUAGACCAUUCAAUUUUCAACUCACCAACAGCAAUUCUCCAUAAUUCUGCUGUGGAUUACCCAGAAUCGCAUACCUUUAUCACUGUGUUAGACAAUGUAAACACAGUAAUCCACCAGGAGGUGGCAUAAUGUCCAUUUUAUGUUGGAAUUUAACAAUUGAAUCAUACUGUUACAAGAGCAACUGUUGACAAUUUGCAGAGCCUCGCUGUAUAGUGGAAAAAUGGGAAAGGUUCAGGAUUGGAGGAAUACAUGACCAGGACAGUGGAGGAUGACCUGGUGGAAAUGAAUAAUAAAUGCUGCUCAUGCUGCAAAGAAUUUCCACUGUGUUGUUAGCAGAUGCUGAGACGGUACAACCUGCUGACUGAUGCAUACCAUAUACUUGGCCUUGGAUACCAGUUCCUACUCACCCUCUCAGUUACCCAGGUAGUUCCUACACACCCUCUUUUACCCAGGUAGUUCCUACUCACCCUCUCAGUUACCCAGGUAGUUCCUACUCACCCUCUGUUACCCAGGUAGUUCCUACUCACCCUCUCAGUUACCCAGGUAGUUCCUACACACUCUCUGUUACCCACGUAGUUCCUACUCACCCUCUCAGUUACCCAGGUAGUUCCUACUCACCCUCUGUUACCCAGGUAGUUCCUACUCACCCUCUCAGCAACCCAGGUAGUUCCUACUCACCCUCUCUGUUACCCAGGUAGCUUGUGAGUGAAGUUUCUCUACCUUAAAGUAUAUCAAGAGCACUCUCUCACAAGAACACCUAGAGGCCUUCAUGCUGAUGGCCACCGGGAAGGAAAUCCUAAUGGCCCUGGAUGCUGACAUGGUGAUCCAUAGAGUUGCAGAGAAAAGCCAGCUGUUGUGACAUAUUUCCUAUAACUUGCUUACUUACCAUUAUUUUACUCCUACAUUUCUAAUGUCUCUUUUUCCUGUCUUUGAUAUUGCUGUCCAAUACUUGGACAGAGUAAAGCCAGCCAGCUGACCUUGAGCAGCAGUUAGACAGUUCUAUGUUUCAGUUACGUUCUAUGUUUGGAGAGGUGUUCAACCAUUGUUUUUUAGAAGGUGUACUCCCAUGACUUAAAGCCAGCCAGCUGACCCUGAUCAGGAGUUAGACAGUUCUAUGUCUCAGGCGGCCGUGGGGGGCCAGUUCUGGUGGGCUGGUCUGGAUCAAAGUCCUGGGCCGUUUUCUACUCCCAGUCCAUCCCUGAAUGUAUGUAAUGUAUUGUCAUAAAACAUUUAAUUAUAAUGAUAACAUUCACCUAGGAAUUCACUUGUUGAAGGCCACAGGACUAAAAAUGAUCAAAUUCAACAACCAUCUCCAUGUUACUAACAAAUAUAGUCAUGGGUGGUAAAUGCUACAAUUCACUCGAAAAGGCAAGGCACACAGGGAAAUUAUAUUGGGGCUUAUUUUUUAUACACCUCAAAUGUGAACCCCCUACAGGAUCACAGUGACUCUAUCGGUUUAAGUGAGGACUACAAAAUCACUUUAAGUAACUGUACUCAGAUAUACUAAGUGCAAUGGGUUUCCUCAAAAGUUUUGAGUAAUGACAGGGUUUACAGUGUAUGAUCAAUAUAUUAUGCAAGUUUGAUUUACAUUUUAAUAAUUCUACUUUUUCUGUAUUUAAACUAUUUUAUUUUGUUGUGAAAUUAAUCUUGCUGCUCUGUGUGCCACUGACUUCUUUACCUUUUGGCCUUGUUUUGCAUAUAUUUCUAUAAUCCUUAUUAUACUGUAUUUAUUAUUAUAUAUAUUUAUUCCUCAUUUGUAAAUGUUGUUUAUGGACUCACGUUGUAAAAUAUCUGUUUAUUUUUCCCCCUUCUGGAACAAUAAAGACUUACUGAACUGAACAUUUGAACAUA
Long non-coding RNA from Oncorhynchus nerka (sockeye salmon), 3458 nucleotides. RefSeq lists it as uncharacterized. Lineage: Eukaryota; Metazoa; Chordata; Actinopteri; Salmoniformes; Salmonidae. The transcript is spliced from 5 exons. The record is from RefSeq and is a predicted model, not a curated record.